CCCGCUGAACUUAAGCAUAUCAAUAAGCGGAGGAAAAGAAACUAACAAGGAUUCCCCUAGUAACUGCGAGUGAAGAGGGAAAAGCUCAAAUUUAAAAUCUGGCAGCCUUCGGUUGUCCGAGUUGUAAUCUAGAGAAGUGUUACCCGCGCCGGACCGUGUAUAAGUCUCCUGGAAUGGAGCGUCAUAGAGGGUGAGAAUCCCGUCUUCGACACGGAUCCCCGGGGCUUUGUGGUGCGCUCUCAAAGAGUCGAGUUGUUUGGGAAUGCAGCUCAAAAUGGGCGGUAAAUUCCAUCUAAAGCUAAAUAUUGGCGAGAGACCGAUAGCGAACAAGUACCGUGAGGGAAAGAUGAAAAGAACUUUGGAAAGAGAGUUAAACAGUACGUGAAAUUGCUGAAAGGGAAACGCUUGAAGUCAGUCGCGUCGGCUGGAAAUCAACCUUGCUUUAGUUGGGUGUACUUUCCAGUUGACGGGCCAGCAUCAGUUUUGACCGGUGGAAAAAGUCCAGAGGAAGGUGGCACCUUCGGGUGUGUUAUAGCCUUUGGUCGUAUACAUCGGUUGGGACUGAGGAACUCAGCACGCCGCAAGGCCGGUCUUCGGACACGUUCGUGCCUAGGAUGCUGGCAUAAUGGCUUUAAUCGACCCGUCUUGAAACACGG
Molecule: ribosomal RNA, 656 nt
Filed under: uncultured fungus
Lineage: Eukaryota; Fungi
Description: eukaryotic LSU rRNA
Rfam family: Eukaryotic large subunit ribosomal RNA
Source: RNAcentral